CCAUUCACAAACAGAUGCAAAGUCAUCAUUGGGACCCUCACUUAAUAGUUAUUGGGCCUAAUCCCAUCCUUAUCCUGGAGCAACUCUUUACUAAUAAGAUGAUUGUGUGUUCUCGAUGCAACUGAACCAUUAUGACCAGCUGAGAAUAAUCAACACCAAUACCACACCCGCACAUCUACAAUGGUGGAAGAUCUAUAGACUUAAUAUUUAUGGAAAGGUUUAAGUUUAGGUUUCAUCUAAUCAGUCGUCAUAUGAUUGAUCUAAUUGACAUGGACUAAACCAAACUGUCAAUCAACCUUAUUGAAGAUUCAAUCUUCUAAAUUGGCUAGAUA
This 332-nucleotide long non-coding RNA is filed under the name Elaeis guineensis (African oil palm). RNAcentral describes it as "long non-coding RNA (EGUI_LNC038544)". The record is from RNAcentral. Lineage: Eukaryota; Viridiplantae; Streptophyta; Magnoliopsida; Arecales; Arecaceae.